Molecule: ribosomal RNA, 429 nt
Filed under: bacterium
Lineage: Bacteria
Description: partial 16S ribosomal RNA
Rfam family: Bacterial small subunit ribosomal RNA
Source: RNAcentral
UGGGGAAUAUUGGACAAUGGGCGAAAGCCUGAUCCAGCCAUGCCGCGUGUGUGAAGAAGGUCUUCGGAUUGUAAAGCACUUUAAGUUGGGAGGAAGGGUUGUAGAUUAAUACUCUGCAAUUUUGACGUUACCGACAGAAUAAGCACCGGCUAACUCUGUGCCAGCAGCCGCGGUAAUACAGAGGGUGCAAGCGUUAAUCGGAAUUACUGGGCGUAAAGCGCGCGUAGGUGGUUUGUUAAGUUGGAUGUGAAAUCCCCGGGCUCAACCUGGGAACUGCAUUCAAAACUGACUGACUAGAGUAUGGUAGAGGGUGGUGGAAUUUCCUGUGUAGCGGUGAAAUGCGUAGAUAUAGGAAGGAACACCAGUGGCGAAGGCGACCACCUGGACUAAUACUGACACUGAGGUGCGAAAGCGUGGGGAGCAAACAAG